This 476-nucleotide ribosomal RNA is filed under the name Exidia glandulosa. RNAcentral describes it as "eukaryotic LSU rRNA". It matches the Rfam family "Eukaryotic large subunit ribosomal RNA", at positions 114 to 591 of the family's 3401-position model. Lineage: Eukaryota; Fungi; Basidiomycota; Agaricomycetes; Auriculariales; Exidiaceae. The record is from RNAcentral.
UUUGAAUCUGGCGGUCUCAGGCCGUCCGAGUUGUAAUCUAGAGAGGUGUUUUCCGUGCCGGACCGUGUACAAGUCCCUUGGAACAGGGCGUCAUAGAGGGUGAGAAUCCCGUCCAUGACACGGACUCCCGGUGCUCUGUGAUACACCUUCAAAGAGUCGAGUUGUUUGGGAAUGCAGCUCAAAAUGGGUGGUAAAUUCCAUCUAAAGCUAAAUACAGGCGAGAGACCGAUAGCGAACAAGUACCGUGAGGGAAAGAUGAAAAGAACUUUGGAAAGAGAGUUAAACAGUACGUGAAAUUGUUGAAAGGGAAACGCUUGAAGUCAGUCGCGUCUGCCGGGACUCAGCCUUGCUUUUGCUUGGUGCACUUCUCGGUGGAUGGGCCAGCAUCGAUUUUGAUCGCCGGAAAAGGGUGGGAGGAAUGUGGCAGCUUGCUGUGUUAUAGCCUCCUAUCGUACACGGUGGUUGGGAUCGAGGAU